Molecule: unclassified non-coding RNA, 343 nt
Filed under: soil metagenome
Description: partial contains 5.8S ribosomal RNA, internal transcribed spacer 2, and large subunit ribosomal RNA
Rfam family: 5.8S ribosomal RNA (bases 1-120)
Source: RNAcentral
GAUGAAGAACGCAGCGAAAUGCGAUAAGUAAUGUGAAUUGCAGAAUCCAGUGAAUCAUCGAAUCUUUGAACGCACAUUGCGCCCGCCAGCAUUCUGGCGGGCAUGCCUGUUCGAGCGUCAUUUCAACCCUCGACCUCCCUUUGGGGAAGUCGGCGUUGGGGACCGGCAGCACACCGCCGGCCCUGAAAUGGAGUGGCGGCCCGUCCGCGGCGACCUCUGCGUAGUAAUCCAACUCGCACCGGAACCCCGACGCGGCCACGCCGUAAAACACCCAACUUCUGAACGUUGACCUCGAAUCAGGUAGGACUACCCGCUGAACUUACGCAUAUCAAUAAGCGGAGGA